This is a long non-coding RNA of Triticum dicoccoides, 2180 nucleotides long. RefSeq lists it as uncharacterized. The record is from RefSeq and is a predicted model, not a curated record. NCBI's taxonomy places the organism in Eukaryota, Viridiplantae, Streptophyta, Magnoliopsida, Poales, Poaceae. The transcript is spliced from 2 exons.
CGGCGGAGAGCUCUCUCUCUAGCUCGUUGUUUUAUUUGCAGCUGAAGGCCGAUGAGAAUCAAUCCCCCCGCCUCCCACCUCCUGCCGCCCCUCUGAUUUUUUGGGCACCCGCCGAUGAUGCAAACUAGAGGAGCCAACCUGUGAGUGGAUGCAGGCGGGGCGGCGAGCGCAAGUCCGUCAGCGGCGAGGGGGCUGCUGCUGGGCUAGCGCGGCGACCACCUGUUGCCGAGCACACCCUGCUCGGACAUCAUGCGGAUGCAACAUUACUUUCCUCCUAUGGCUUUUGUUUUUUGAUUUAGCUGGUUGCAGCUUUUUGAUUUGUCGGUUCCAGCUUUUUUUUGGUUGAUUGUAGCAAUUUUUAUCCUCCAGUAAGCAACUUCUGAUUCGUCGGUUCUAACAGUUUCUUUUGCUGGUCGUAGCUUUUCAUGCCGCUAGUUUCAACUUUUUUCUUCACCGAUGGCAUCAAUCCCCCGUUUCGAAGUAGCAACUUUUCAAUUCGCAGUUGUAACAUUUUAUUUCACCGGUAGUAGCUUUUUGCGGGAGGACGGAGAUCGAUUACGAAUUUUUGCUGCAACCGUUUGUGUUUUUUGCUACUACCGGCGAUGUAUUUUGCUACAUCCAUUCAAUGUCAUUUACUGGUGGUUGUUGGCUGCGCAAUCCGUGCAGCGAGGGUUGACGACGAGUGGCGGCAGCAGUGCAUCAUGGGUCUACGAGCGAGCGGCCGGCAGCCGUUGCCCUCGCGGAUGUGCAGACGGAGGCGGGGGCGUGUGGGGCAGAGGGGCGGGGGUGCGUGGGGUGGAGGUUGAAGACGAGUCAAGGCGCGUGGAGAUGCCAGAUCGGACGACCAAUCCACGCCAGAUCGAAGGGUUAGGGCGCGACCGGCCCAAAUUUGGGCCGGUGCACCGGCGUCUAGCGUCGCCCAUUUAAUUAACACGUGCACAACACACUUAAAUCGCAUGCACGCAACACUUUCGCAAGCCGUUGGGUUACUUGCACAACACGAGGUUGAGGCGCGACGUUGUAUUGUCGCAGUUCUUUGUCGGCGUCGCCAUCCUUCUGGUGGUGCACGUCCUCGGCGCCGUCGCCAUCAUGGGUAUCAUUUACAUGUCGCCGGUGGCAAGGCGAAGAUGAGUGGCUAGAUAAGGGGGUGUCCUAAAGCCUAUGCUCUACAAUAUGUUUACCGGCAAGGCGAAUGCUGCGGGGCAAGGUCUAGAUGUGUGAACCUUCGCCGUGCUCAUCAUGGUGUCCAUGUUGUCGAGCUAACAACUAAGGCCUGUGCGGCUGCGCGUGCAUGCCGGUGAACGGGAACAUGGCCAUGUUCAAGCGAGCACACCGGUCUCAGCUGCUUGUGCCGAGACGCUGGUCGAGAAUGUAAGACGAGAUAGAAGGAGAAAGAUUGCAACUGCAACUAUUUUCAACCGUAUUCUUUUUUUUUCUUGAGGGGAUUUUCAACCGUAUUCAUUCACCGUGCUCAACUGUAUUCACCAUCAUCGCACGAGAGAAUGUACAUGGAUGAUGAGCAGGUAGGUGCGGCAACUACGCUAACAACCUCCGUAUCUAACUCAUCUAGAUAAGCUCAUGCAAUCAUGUACGUGAGACUAGGUCUAGCAGUUAGUUUCUCUAAAAAAAUGGUUUAGUGGUUACAGGGAGGGAGCUACGUGAAUGAAUCUGACGCUGGUGCAGCUGGUCUUCUAGGGGCGUACCAACAGAGAACACGCUAUUCCUCGCUGUUGGCUGCGUGCAUAGCCUGCGCGUGGAGCUCAAGAAGUGAAGAAAAUAUGAUGAUAGGGGGCAUGGAGCUAAGAGGAUACUAGUACCUGCUUCCAGCGUGGAGCUGCUAUUGGCCCAGUCCGUGUAGCCCGGUACUUUUCGACGACACAUGACGAACGGCGACGAACGACGGUGACAAUGGCGGUGGCGAUGGCGUGCGGCAUGGAGUGGAGCGGCACGCCCUGGGAAUGCGUCCGCGUGGGAGAAGACGGCGAACGUCCUAUAUACCUACUACUAGUAGGUAGCAUGCAAAGGGAGCACGAAGCCCUGUCGCACCCGCGCACGAUAGCAUGCAUGCACACACACGGCAGCUACGACACUAAACAAAAAUAAUGGCUCAAAUUAAUUGUGCACACAUUGAUCCUGUGGUUAACUGGCUAGCAGGCAUAGCGAUUUAUUUCUUUUUUCCA